UGAGCAACCUGCCCUUAGCUUUGGGAUAACUCUCGGAAACGGGGGCUAAUACCGAAUGUUCACUGCCGGGCGCAUGUUUGGUGGUGGAAAGUUUUUCGGCUGGGGAUGGGCUCGCGGCCUAUCAGCUUGUUGGUGGGGUGAUGGCCUACCAAGGCGACGACGGGUAGCCGGCCUGAGAGGGCGACCGGCCACACUGGGACUGAGACACGGCCCAGACUCCUACGGGAGGCA
This 231-nucleotide ribosomal RNA is filed under the name uncultured bacterium. RNAcentral describes it as "partial 16S ribosomal RNA". It matches the Rfam family "Bacterial small subunit ribosomal RNA", at positions 118 to 350 of the family's 1533-position model. The record is from RNAcentral.